RNAcentral lists this ribosomal RNA (751 nucleotides) under Choerophryne alpestris. RNAcentral describes it as "partial 12S ribosomal RNA". The stretch from base 1 to 505 matches the Rfam family "Bacterial small subunit ribosomal RNA", at positions 791 to 1533 of the family's 1533-position model. The record is from RNAcentral. Lineage: Eukaryota; Metazoa; Chordata; Amphibia; Anura; Microhylidae.
UAUGCUUAGCCGUAAAAUAUUAACCUACACUUAGCCCGCCAGGGAAUUACGAGCUCAAGCUUAAAACCCAAAGGACUUGACGGUGCCCCAUCCCUCUAGAGGAGCCUGUUCUAUAAUCGAUUCUCCCCGAUCUACCUCGCCGUUUCUUGAAUAUCCAGUCUGUAUACCUCCGUCGCAAGCUUACCAUGUGAACGUACACAGUGAGCCUAACGAUCCACCAUCCACACGUCAGGUCAAGGUGCAGCCUACGGAACGGAAAGAAAUGGGCUACAAUCUCUAUCUUAGAACAAACGGAAGACUGUAUGAAACACAGUCACUGAAGGCGGAUUUAGUAGUAAAAAGAAAAUAGAGAGUUCUUUUUAACUGGGCGCUGGGACGCGUACACACCGCCCGUCACCCUCUUCAAACAGAAGACUUAAAAGUCACUAACACCACCCAAUUAAAUAGAAGAGGCAAGUCGUAACAUGGUAAGUGUACUGGAAAGUGCACUUGGAAUAACAAAAUGUAGCUUAAUAAAAGUAUCCUGCUUACACCAAGACCAUGUCUGUGAAAUCCAAACCAUUUUGAGCCUAAACCCAAGCCCUACUAACCUACCCACAUGAAUUUUCUCUUUCCUUUUUUUCCCCCAUAAAACAUUCUUUUGACUAAGUAAAGGCGAUUAAAAAGUUUCUAGGAGCCCUAGCACCAGUACCGCAAGGGAAAAGUGAAAUAAAAAUGAAAUAAAUUUAAAGCGCUACAAAGUAGAGAUUCC